GUUCCGAUAGCUCAGCCGGGAGAGCGCCGCCCCGACGUGGCGGAGGUCUCCGGUUCGAGUCCGGCUCGGAACA
This 73-nucleotide transfer RNA is filed under the name Catenuloplanes indicus. RNAcentral describes it as "tRNA-Val". It matches the Rfam family "tRNA". Rfam says of the family: Transfer RNA (tRNA) molecules are approximately 80 nucleotides in length. Lineage: Bacteria; Bacillati; Actinomycetota; Actinomycetes; Micromonosporales; Micromonosporaceae. The record is from RNAcentral.